This 742-nucleotide ribosomal RNA is filed under the name Xylaria polymorpha. RNAcentral describes it as "partial large subunit ribosomal RNA". It matches the Rfam family "Eukaryotic large subunit ribosomal RNA", at positions 68 to 937 of the family's 3401-position model. The record is from RNAcentral. Lineage: Eukaryota; Fungi; Ascomycota; Sordariomycetes; Xylariales; Xylariaceae.
ACAGGGAUGCCCUAGUAACGGCGAGUGAAGCGGCAACAGCUCAAAUUUGAAAUCUGGGGGUCCGAGUUGUAAUUUGUAGAGGAUGCUUUUGGCGCGGUCCCUGGAACGGGACGCCUUAGAGGGUGAGAGCCCCGUAUGGUUGGACACCAAGCCUCUGUAUAGCUCCUUCGACGAGUCGAGUAGUUUGGGAAUGCUGCUCUAAAUGGGAGGUAAAUUUCUUCUAAAGCUAAAUAUUGGCCAGAGACCGAUAGCGCACAAGUAGAGUGAUCGAAAGAUGAAAAGCACUUUGAAAAGAGGGUUAAAUAGCACGUGAAAUUGUUGAAAGGGAAGCGUUUGCGACCAGACCUUUUCCUAGCGGAUCAGCCGGUGCACUUCGCUAGGUAGGCCAGCAUCGGUUCGUAGGGGGAUAAAAGAACGUAGCUCCUCCCCUCUGCAUAAUACCCUUACGGGGACCGAGGCCGCGCUUCGGUCGUCAACGACCCGUCUUGAAACACGGACCAAGGAGUCGAACAUUUGUGCGAGUGUUUGGGUGUAAACCCUCACGCGUAAUGAAAGUGAACGGAGGUGAGGUGCAUCAUCGACCGAUCCUGAUGUCUUCGGAUGGAUUUGAGUAAGAGCAUAACUGUUCGGACCCGAAAGAUGGUGAACUAUGCGUGGAUAGGGUGAAGCCAGAGGAAACUCUGGUGGAGGCUCGGUUCUGACGUGCAAAUCGAUCGUCAAAUCUGGGGCGAAAGACUUAUCG